RNAcentral lists this ribosomal RNA (491 nucleotides) under uncultured bacterium. Its description in RNAcentral is "partial 16S ribosomal RNA". It matches the Rfam family "Bacterial small subunit ribosomal RNA", at positions 29 to 506 of the family's 1533-position model. The record is from RNAcentral.
AGUGAACGCUGGCGGUAGGCCUAACACAUGCAAGUCGAACGGCAGCACAGUAAGAGCUUGCUCUUACGGGUGGCGAGUGGCGGACGGGUGAGGAAUACAUCGGAAUCUACUUUUUCGUGGGGGAUAACGUAGGGAAACUUACGCUAAUACCGCAUACGACCUACGGGUGAAAGCAGGGGAUCUUCGGACCUUGCGCGAUUGAAUGAGCCGAUGUCGGAUUAGCUAGUUGGCGGGGUAAAGGCCCACCAAGGCGACGAUCCGUAGCUGGUCUGAGAGGAUGAUCCGCCCACCGGGAGAUGGGAACCGGGCAAGACCCCUAGGGGGGGCCGGAGGGGGGAAUGUUGGACAAGGGGCGGAAGCCUGAUCCAGCCAUCCCGGGGGGGUGAAGAAGCCCUUCGGGUUGUAAAGCCUUUUUGUUGGGAAAAAAAAGCAGCAGGUUAAAACCCCGCUGUUCUGACGGAACCCAAAGAAUAAGCCCCGGCUAACUUCGG